GAGUGUUGCACAUUGGCAGAGACGGGGAGUGGAGCUUGGAAGAAGUACUGGCCAUUCUGCCUUUUGAAACCUGAGGCUGACAAGUGGUCUGAGGACUGACCUUCUUCAAGCUCCUGGAAGGAUGCUGGGACUCAUGUGGACCACACUUUUCUUCAUACUCCAACCAUGCCCUUCUAAGUCUUCCUGUUCACAGACCUCUGCUGGUCCCUGGACACCCUUUUCUUUGCAACUAAGAUAGUGAUGCUCAAACCACCACCCAGGCUCUCUUCCUUACUUGUUCUGAUGAAGUCAGCUGCCAUGUUGUUUGCUGCCCUAUGGAGAGACUCACAUGACAAGGAACUAAGGGAAGCUACCAGCCUACAGGCAUUGAGAAACUAAAGUCUUCAGUCCUCAGUCCCAUAGCCCAUAAGGAACUGACUUCUGCAAGCAACCAUGUAAAUGAACUUGGAAGUAGAGCCCUCCCCAGUCACUUCUUCCAGUGAGACUGCAGCCCCAGAUGAUACCUUGAUUGCAACCAUGUGAGAGGAAAGCACACUAGAAGAUGGUUGGAUGAAUGUAUGAUGGGCAAACUCAUAGUGUCUACCACACCUUCCAUGCAGGUGGCUUGGAUGGAACUCCAUUGUCCCUCCCAGAAAUUCAAUGGACUCAACCCAGCUAGCCCAUACCUAUGAUCCCUUUUCAUCUUAGCCUCAGCCUAAUUAUCUCAGGGAAGAAGGACCCUCCC
This is a long non-coding RNA of Hyaena hyaena (striped hyena), 724 nucleotides long. RefSeq lists it as uncharacterized. The transcript has 3 exons. NCBI's taxonomy places the organism in Eukaryota, Metazoa, Chordata, Mammalia, Carnivora, Hyaenidae. The record is from RefSeq and is a predicted model, not a curated record.